Molecule: ribosomal RNA, 424 nt
Filed under: uncultured prokaryote
Description: bacterial SSU rRNA
Rfam family: Bacterial small subunit ribosomal RNA
Source: RNAcentral
UGGGGAAUAUUGGACAAUGGGGGCAACCCUGAUCCAGCCAUGCCGCGUGCGUGAAGAAGGCCUUAGGGUUGUAAAGCGCUUUCACUGGUGAAGAUGAUGACGGUACCCAGUAAAGAAGUCCCGGCUAACUCCGUGCCAGCAGCCGCGGUAAUACGGAGGGGACUAGCGUUGUUCGGAAUUACUGGGCGUAAAGCGCGCGUAGGCGGACUAUUAAGUCAGGGGUGAAAUCCCGGGGCUCAACCCCGGAACUGCCUUUGAUACUGGUAGUCUUGAGUUCGAGAGAGGUGAGUGGAAUUCCGAGUGUAGAGGUGAAAUUCGUAGAUAUUCGGAGGAACACCAGUGGCGAAGGCGGCUCACUGGCUCGAUACUGACGCUGAGGUGCGAAAGUGUGGGGAGCAAACAGGAUUAGAUACCCGUGUAGUCC